CCGGAGAGGGAGCCUGAGAAACGGCUACCACAUCCAAGGAAGGCAGCAGGCGCGCAAAUUACCCACUCCCAGCUCGGGGAGGUAGUGACGAAAAAUAACGAUACGGAACUCUUACGAGGCUCCGUAAUCGGAAUGAGUACACUUUAAAUCCCUUAACGAGGAUCUAUUGGAGGGCAAGUCUGGUGCCAGCAGCCGCGGUAAUUCCAGCUCCAAUAGCGUAUAUUAAUUUUGUUGCGGUUAAAAAGCUCGUAGUUGGAUCUCGGUUUCGGGCGAGUGGUGUACCUUGCGGUAUUUACUGUUUGCCCGGACGAUUUUGUUGGUUCGUUUAUGGUUCUCUUAACCGAGUGCCAUAAGUGGCCAGCACGUUUACUUUGAAAAAAUUGGAGUGCUCAAAGCAGGCGCUACAGCCUGAACAUUAGUGCAUGGAAUAAUGGAAUAGGAUCUCGGUUCUAUUUCGUUGGCUUUCGGAGUCGAGGUAAUGAUUAAUAGGGACAGACGGGGGCAUUCGUACUGCGACGUUAGAGGUGAAAUUCUUGGAUCGUCGCAAGACGAACUACUGCGAAAGCAUUUGCCAAGAAUGUUUUCAUUAAUCAAGAACGAAAGUUAGAAGUUCGAAGGCGAUCAGAUACCGCCCUAGUUCUAACCAUAAACGAUGUCGACCGGCGAUCCGUUAUCGUUAACUGAAUGACUUAACGGGCAGCCUCCGGGAAACCAGAGUGUUUGGAUUCCGGGGGAAGUAUGGUUGCAAAGCUGAAACUUAAAGGAAUUGACGGAAGGGCACCACCAGGAGUGGAGCCUGCGGCUUAAUUUGACCCAACACGGGAAAUCUCACCAGGCCCGGACACCGGAAGGAUUGACAGAUUGAGAGCUCUUUCUUGAUUCGGUGGGUGGUGGUGCAUGGCCGUUCUUAGUUGGUGGAGCGAUUUGUCUGGUUAAUUCCGAUAACGAACGAGACUCUGGCCUACUAACUAGACGUUAGAUCCCUUUGUGGGUCUAUCGCAGCUUCUUAGAGGGACGGGCGGCGUUUAGCCGCACGAGAUUGAGCGAUAACAGGUCUGUGAUGCCCUUAGAUGUUCUGGGCUGCACGCGCGCUACACUGAAGGAAUCAGCGUGUGUUCCCUACCCGAAAGGGUUGGGAAACCCGUUGAACCUCCUUCGUGAUGGGGAUUGGGGAUUGCAAUUAUUCCCCAUGAACGAGGAAUUCCCAGUAGGCGCGAGUCAUAAGCUUGCGUCGAUUACGUCCCUGCCCUUUGUACACACCGCCCGUCGCUACUACCGAUCGAGUGAUUUAGUGAGGCCUUCGGACUGGUCUUCAGUAUGGCUUUCGGGUCGUGUUGGAGUACCGGAAAGAUGACCAAACUUGAUCACUUAGAGGAAGUAAAAGUCGUAACAAGGUU
Molecule: ribosomal RNA, 1397 nt
Filed under: metagenome
Description: SSU rRNA
Rfam family: Eukaryotic small subunit ribosomal RNA
Source: RNAcentral